This 2025-nucleotide long non-coding RNA is filed under the name Homo sapiens (human). RNAcentral describes it as "HSALNT0342681". Lineage: Eukaryota; Metazoa; Chordata; Mammalia; Primates; Hominidae. The record is from RNAcentral.
AUCAAUGCAAGAAAUCAUCCUACAUGAAAAAGGAAGCUCAAAAUUUUGUUUAUGUAAAAACUUUUUUAAAUUACUUGAGUUUUGUUAACAUUUAUCCUUUUACAUAGGGUUGCUAAAGUUAGCGAAUAAAUUAUAGGAUACCCAGUUAAAAUUUAAUUUCAGGUAAACAACAAAUAGAUUUUUAGUAUAAGUAGGUCCCAUGAAAUGUUUAUGACAUAUAUAUACUAAAAACUCAUUCAUUAUUUAAUCUAAAAUUUAUAUUUAGCUUGGCAUCCUAUAUUUUGUCUGGCAACCCUCCUUUUAAGAAAAUCUAAUAAUCCAUAUUUACCUGAUAGGUAAAUUAGAAUACUGAUUCUUUUUUGAAUGAAAAUAAUGUAUUUUUUUAAAUUUUUCUAACUUUAGUUCCUCUAAUAGAAAUUAAUUUAGAUAACUAAGGAACCAUAGGAAUUUAAAAGCUGACCUAUCAGAAAUAACUUCAGCUAUAUUACAUUAAAAAUGAAGAGAUGGAAUCUGAAAUAGGAAAGUAAGAUUUAUACCCAUUAUUCAGCCAAAAUCUGUUUUUCUUUAACUUCUACCCAUUGUUCCUAAGUCUGCCCUCUGGGGGCUGUAGAAAAUAAUGAAGAUGAUGUUAUUAAUGAUAACCAGUGCUUGCUGUAACCAGUUAUGUGCAUUAUUUUAUUGGAUUUAAUUUGUUUACUCUUUAUAACAGCAUGUGAGGGAGGUGCUUUUCUGAUUUCCAUUCUACAAAAUAAGAAACUAAAGCACAGAGUAGUUGAUUAGCUUAACCAUAACCACAUCUCUUUGUCAACUCUUAAAGUACCAGAGCUUUCAUAGUUUUAAAGUUCCCAAUUCCUUCUACCAUUUCUUUUAGUACAGGGUCUCUAGACCCUUUCCUGUCCUCAUUCAACUCUCAGCUUGUUGUGGCUUGUCAGUGCCCUGAAAUAUGUUAUGGCCAAAAUUUAAAAGUAUACUUCAUAGAUCAUAUAAUUUACAAGUAGAGUACAGCAGGAUUUUUAAUGGCCUUGGUACUAAAGUUAUAUUGCCAAUAGUGACCCAUGGAUUAGCUGAGUUUUGUUUCGUUCUAGUUUUUGAAUGGGGAAUGUACUUUUACAUAAUACAGUUGGCUCAGGUUGACCUUUUAGUCAGGUGAAACUUCCAGGUUCUUAUCUGUACUAAAUGCAGACGUUCCUAUGCCUCUGCUUUCUUCCCAGUUGGCUUGAGUAGAUGUCCAAGGGAUUGACAUCAGCAUGUCUAUAUUGUUUGACCAUUUCAGCUUUGGGGAAGAAGAAGGAGCCCAGCUAUGUUGUGUUUUUUGCUAGUAUGAUGUUGGGCUAACUUUUAUAGCAUUUUUCCUUUUUGGAUAACUUAAUUUACCACGUAAUUGUCCAUGCUGGGGUGGAGCAAAGAUUUAUCCAAAAGGUUACUUUUAUUAGAAAAGUGUACUGCUUUAGGGUUUUGAAUUUCUGACUACUGGCUGACAGUAACCUUAUUUGCUGAGUAUCAGUUGUCGUUCAGUUACUCUUUCCCUGUCUCAUUGGCUUUUCUCUCCCUGUUUCCCAUUUUGACUUUAUACUGAAUAAAAUCAAACGUCUAAGUACUCUACUUACUAUAUACACCUUGCCAUUUAUAUGUAACAAGUCUCUUGCAGGAAAGUGUUCAAAUGAUGCGAUCUUUGUUUUAUGCUAUUGGAAAAUAUACUUGUCAACCUUAAGAAAUAGUAUAUUCAGUCAACGCUUCAUUAAAUGUAGUAUUCUUUCCUGAAAAAUAAAACCCAGUGCUCUGUUUAGUUCUUACCUACAUUAUAGUCUGCAAAUAAGACAUAUGACAAAUUGGUUCCUUGCAGUCCCCCACUAGUAUCCCCAUGGCAGAUCUAGGAGCCAGCAACUGGCAAAGCAGAAAUGAGGUUUGCAGAAUUGUUAGCCCAGCAUCACAGAGGAGGAUGAAUUUGUAGUUGGUAGACAAAGGUUUAAUAACCGACACAGAAGAAUAAAUGCCUUCUUCCUGUUUGGCUAUGAGCCCCUUGAU